AACCUUAUGGACCUGCGGGCGUAUACCUGCGGAAGGAUCAUUAAUAAAUGUUACUUCGGUAACUUAAUUAAUCCCUAACACCUGUGCAUCUUGUCGCUUCGGCGUCAUUUUAUAAACAUCAGUGUAAUGAAUGUAAAGUAUUAUAACAAAUACAACUUUCAGCAAUGGAUCU
RNAcentral lists this unclassified non-coding RNA (172 nucleotides) under soil metagenome. RNAcentral's name for it is "partial contains 5.8S ribosomal RNA, internal transcribed spacer 2, and large subunit ribosomal RNA". The record is from RNAcentral.